Long non-coding RNA from Esox lucius (northern pike), 1638 nucleotides. The record is from Ensembl. NCBI's taxonomy places the organism in Eukaryota, Metazoa, Chordata, Actinopteri, Esociformes, Esocidae.
CAACCUCCCCUGUGUUAAAAAAACUUCAACAAUAGGAUGAAGGUGAAUAGGGUACAUAGGGAUAACAGGUCCACUAUCUGAGACAAAUCAAGUUACUUAUUCAUAGUCACAGACUGUUUCACCUAAUGCUAAAACAGUGUGACCCAGUCUGAAGUGGAGGGUAGACAGAACUCACUCCUUUGUUUCUUGGCCAGAAAUUCUAUUUCAGUUGUAAAGAUAUUUCUUCAGUUUAUUGAAAUGGAAAUAUUGAACUUCUUCUGCUCUUCAGUAAAUUGUAGCAAUUAUGUUGAACACAGGAUUUCGAUCUGUAGUGUAACUAGAGUGAUAGGAACACUAUGCCUCAUGAGCCAUAAUGACUGCAUUCCAAAUGGAGACUGUGUACUGUAUACUGCCUGACAAAUAGAGUCCAAAGUAAAGAUCCAAUAUGGGAAAACACUGAGGCUGAAUACGGUGCUGUGAAGAGUGGAUGAGGCCGAAGUGAAGGGUGGAUGAGGCAGAAGUGAAGAGUGGAUACACCGAGGUGAAGGGUGGAUGAGGCUGAAGUGAAGGGUGGAUACACUGAGGUGAAGAGUGGAUGAGGCCGAAGUGAAGGGUGGGUACACAGAGGUGAAGGGUGGAUGAGGCUGAAGUGAAGGGUGGAUACACCAAGGUGAAGGGUGGAUGAGGCCGAAGUGAAGGGUGGGUACACUGAGGUGAAGGGUGGAUGAGGCCGAAGUGAAGGGUGGAUACACCAAGGUGAAGGGUGGAUACACCGAGGUGAAGGGUGGAUACACCGAGGUGAAGGGUGGAUGAGGCCGAAGUGAAGGGUGGAUACACCAAGGUGAAGGGUGGAUGAGGCCGAAGUGAAGGGUGGAUACACCAAGGUGAAGAGUGGAUGAGGCCGAAGUGAAGGGUGGAUACACCGAGGUGAACUGACCAACAAAUUGCCCAAAUUGAACCAGGCUCCUGAGACCCAAAUCUCAUUUGACCAACUGAAAAACACUUAAAAAAAUGCAGAAUGUAAACGAAACCCAACGAUGCCGGAGCGGAAGCUACUCCGGUUAGGGCAUAGGACUGUGUGGUGGAGCAGUGUGCCCUCUAAAGCUUCACACUUGUCACACAUGGAACUAGAUCCUCAUUAAUUUGACCUUUAAGCCCAACUGGGCCUUGAUGCAGUUUCUGGUGAAUGUUCUUUGUUGCUGAUGACAGUCAUGCUUAUAAGCCAUUCCCUUCCUAAUCCAUGAACACUUAAUGUUGUGUCCAGACUUUCCCUUGUCCCUGGUGGGGGUGAGGGUGGGGGACAAACCGGACAUUUAAAUGACUUGGUCCCUCGUCAUAGUGAAACUCCUUUCCCUGGAACCUGGAUUGGAACAAUGACCAAUAUGGUCCACAUUAUCGCAGGGUGACACAGGGGUCACUUUUUGCUGCUGGAGCGCAGGGCCUGAAAUAGUUUGUGCCUCUGAAGCGGACGCUAGAUGUAGCAGGAUCUGUUCUUGUUGUGAUUACCUGGCUCCAGAGCAAGGCCGGCCAUUCUCCCUGGACUUCUGGAAAUGACCUCUGCCAAGGGGCUGUGAUUAGCACAACCUCGGCCCACUCCGGCCCAUUCCUGGGUCAACACCCAGGGCCAUAAGAGGAAUUCCACAAUCAUUAGCCAGACAG